UACGAAGGGGGCAAGCGUUGUUCGGAAUUACUGGGCGUAAAGGGCGCGCAGGCGGCUUGUUAAGUCAGAUGUGAAAGCCCCGGGCUCAACCUGGGAAUAGCAUUUGGGACUGAUGGGCUAGAGAUCGGGAGAGGAGAGUGGAAUUCCCAGUGUAGAGGUGAAAUUCGUAGAUAUUGGGAAGAACACCGGUGGCGAAGGCGGCUCUCUGGGCCUUACCUGACGCUGAGGAGCGAAGGUCAGGGGAGCAAACGGG
This 253-nucleotide ribosomal RNA is filed under the name uncultured bacterium. Its description in RNAcentral is "partial 16S ribosomal RNA". It matches the Rfam family "Bacterial small subunit ribosomal RNA", at positions 524 to 776 of the family's 1533-position model. The record is from RNAcentral.